RNAcentral lists this ribosomal RNA (348 nucleotides) under uncultured bacterium. Its description in RNAcentral is "bacterial SSU rRNA". It matches the Rfam family "Bacterial small subunit ribosomal RNA", at positions 28 to 377 of the family's 1533-position model. The record is from RNAcentral.
GACGAACGCUGGCGGCGUGCUUAACACAUGCAAGUCGAGCGGUAAGGCCCUUUCGGGGGUACACGAGCGGCGAACGGGUGAGUAACACGUGGGUGACCUGCCCUCAGCUCUGGGAUAAGCCUGGGAAACCGGGUCUAAUACUGGAUAUGACUCCAUGACGCAUGUUGUGGGGUGGAAAGCCUUGUGCGGCUGAGGAUGGGCCCGCGGCCUAUCAGCUUGUUGGUGGGGUGANGGCCUACCAAGGCGACGACGGGUAGCCGGCCUGAGAGGGCGACCGGCCACACUGGGACUGAGACACGGCCCAGACUCCUACGGGAGGCAGCAGUGGGGAAUCUUGCGCAAUGCGCG